AGAAUCAACGCUGGCGGCGUGCCUCAGACAUGCAAGUCGAACGCGAAAGUCCCCUUCGGGGGGCAAGUAGAGUGGCGCACGGGUGAGUAACACGUAGGUAAUCUACCUUCGGAUGGGGAGUAACAAUCGGAAACGGUUGCUAAUACCGCAUAAUGCAGCGGCACCUAAUGGUGACAGUUGUUAAAGCGGGGGAUCGAAAGACCUCGCGUCUGAAGAGGAGCCUGCGGCGGAUUAGCUAGUUGGUAAGGUAAUGGCUUACCAAGGCUACGAUCC
Molecule: ribosomal RNA, 273 nt
Filed under: uncultured soil bacterium
Lineage: Bacteria
Description: partial 16S ribosomal RNA
Rfam family: Bacterial small subunit ribosomal RNA
Source: RNAcentral